CAGCAGUAGGGAAUCUUCGGCAAUGGACGAAAGUCUGACCGAGCAACGCCGCGUGAGUGAAGAAGGUUUUCGGAUCGUAAAACUCUGUUGUUAGAGAAGAACAAGGAUGAGAGUAAAAUGUUCAUCCCUUGACGGUAUCUAACCAGAAAGCCACGGCUAACUACGUGCCAGCAGCCGCGGUAAUACGUAGGUGGCAAGCGUUGUCCGGAUUUAUUGGGCGUAAAGCGAGCGCAGGCGGUUUCUUAAGUCUGAUGUGAAAGCCCCCGGCUCAACCGGGGAGGGUCAUUGGAAACUGGGAGACUUGAGUGCAGAAGAGGAGAGUGGAAUUCCAUGUGUAGCGGUGAAAUGCGUAGAUAUAUGGAGGAACACCAGUGGCGAAGGCGGCUCUCUGGUCUGUAACUGACG
RNAcentral lists this ribosomal RNA (405 nucleotides) under uncultured Bacilli bacterium. RNAcentral describes it as "bacterial SSU rRNA". It matches the Rfam family "Bacterial small subunit ribosomal RNA", at positions 349 to 745 of the family's 1533-position model. Lineage: Bacteria; Bacillati; Bacillota; Bacilli. The record is from RNAcentral.